GAUGAAGAACGUAGCGAAAUGCGAUAAGUAAUGUGAAAUGCAGAAUUCAGUGAAUCAUCGAAUCUUUGAACGCACAUUGCGCCCGCCAGUAUUCUGGCGGGCAUGCCUGUUCGAGCGUCAUUUCAACCAUCAAGCCCCCGGCUUGUGUUGGGGACCUGCGGCUGCCGCAGGCCCUGAAAAGCAGUGGCGGGCUCGCUGUCACACCGAGCGUAGUAGCAUACAUCUCGCUCUGGGCGUGCUGCGGGUUCCGGCCGUUAAACCACCUUCAUAACCCAAGGUUGACCUCGGAUCAGGUAGGAAGACCCGCUGAACUUAAGCAUAUCAAUAAGCGGAGGA
This 336-nucleotide unclassified non-coding RNA is filed under the name soil metagenome. RNAcentral describes it as "partial contains 5.8S ribosomal RNA, internal transcribed spacer 2, and large subunit ribosomal RNA". The stretch from base 1 to 120 matches the Rfam family "5.8S ribosomal RNA", at positions 35 to 154 of the family's 154-position model. The record is from RNAcentral.